Molecule: ribosomal RNA, 853 nt
Filed under: Kosakonia sp. S57
Lineage: Bacteria; Pseudomonadati; Pseudomonadota; Gammaproteobacteria; Enterobacterales; Enterobacteriaceae
Also listed under: 1 other name
Description: partial 23S ribosomal RNA
Rfam family: Bacterial large subunit ribosomal RNA
Source: RNAcentral
GGGUUGUGAGGUUAAGCGACUAAGCGUACACGGUGGAUGCCCUGGCAGUCAGAGGCGAUGAAGGACGUGCUAAUCUGCGAAAAGCGCCGGUAAGGUGAUAUGAACCGUUAUAACCGGCGAUGUCCGAAUGGGGAAACCCAGUGCAAUCCGUUGCACUAUCACAGCAUGAAUACAUAGUGCUGUGAGGCGAACCGGGGGAACUGAAACAUCUAAGUACCCCGAGGAAAAGAAAUCAACCGAGAUUCCCCCAGUAGCGGCGAGCGAACGGGGAACAGCCCAGAGCCUGAAUCAGCCUGAGUGUUAGUGGAAGCGUCUGGAAAGUCGCGCGAUACAGGGUGACAGCCCCGUACACAAAAGCACACAGGUUGUGAGCUCGAUGAGUAGGGCGGGACACGUGGUAUCCUGUCUGAAUAUGGGGGGACCAUCCUCCAAGGCUAAAUACUCCUGACUGACCGAUAGUGAACCAGUACCGUGAGGGAAAGGCGAAAAGAACCCCGGCGAGGGGAGUGAAACAGAACCUGAAACCGUGUACGUACAAGCAGUGGGAGCCUCUUUAUGGGGUGACUGCGUACCUUUUGUAUAAUGGGUCAGCGACUUAUAUUCUGUAGCAAGGUUAACCGUAUAGGGGAGCCGCAGGGAAACCGAGUCUUAACUGGGCGUUAAGUUGCAGGGUAUAGACCCGAAACCCGGUGAUCUAGCCAUGGGCAGGUUGAAGGUUGGGUAACACUAACUGGAGGACCGAACCGACUAAUGUUGAAAAAUUAGCGGAUGACCUGUGGCUGGGGGUGAAAGGCCAAUCAAACCGGGAGAUAGCUGGUUCUCCCCGAAAGCUAUUUAGGUAGCGCCUCGUGAA